GUAGGUUAAAAGCCUUACCAGGCGACGAAUGGUAGCGACUGAAACGGUAUCGCCGCACUGACUUGGACACGUCCAGACUCCUACCGAAGCAGCAGUGGGGAAUAUGCCAUGGGGAAAUCUGACGCAGCACGCCGCGUGAGGGAGAGCUCGGUCGUAAACUCUGUCUUUGGGAAGAAAAAAAAUGACGGUACCCAAGGAGGAAGCCCGGCUAACUACGUGCCAGCAGCCGCGGUAAUACGUAGGGGGCAAGCGUUGUCCGGAAUUACUGGGCGUAAAGGGUGCGUAGGCGGCCGAUUAAGUCAGAUGUGAAAUACCACGGCUCAACUGUGGGGGUGCAUUUGAAACUGGUUGGCUUGAGUGCAGGAGAGGAAAGUGGAAUUCCUAGUGUAGCGGUGAAAUGCGUAGAGAUUAGGAGGAACACCAGUGGCGAAGGCGACUUUCUGGACUGUAACUGACGCUGAGGCACGAAAGCGUGGGGAGCAAACAGGAUUAGAUACCCUGGUAGUCCACGCCGUAAACGAUGGAUACUAGGUGUAGGGGGUAUCGACCCCCCCUGUGCCGGAGUUAACGCAAUAAGUAUCCCGCCUGGGGAGUACGGCCGCAAGGUUGAAACUCAAAGGAAUUGACGGGGGCCCGCACAAGCAGCGGAGCAUGUGGUUUAAUUCGAAGCAACGCGAAGAACCUUACCUAGACUUGACAUCUCCUGAAUUACCCGUAAUGGGGGAAGUCCUUCGGGACAGGAAGACAGGUGGUGCAUGGUUGUCGUCAGCUCGUGUCGUGAGAUGUUGGGUUAAGUCCCGCAACGAGCGCAACCCUUAUUGUUAGUUGCUACCAUUAAGUUGAGCACUCUAGCGAGACUGCCCGGGUUAACCGGGAGGAAGGUGGGGAUGACGUCAAAUCAUCAUGCCCCUUAUGUCUAGGGCUACACACGUGCUACAAUGGCCAGUACAGAGAGAAGCGAGACCGCAAGGUGGAGCAAAACUCAAAAACUGGUCCCAGUUCGGAUUGUAGGCUGAAACUCGCCUACAUGAAGCCGGAGUUGCUAGUAAUCGCGAAUCAGCAUGUCGCGGUGAAUACGUUCCCGGGCCUUGUACACACCGCCCGUCACACCAUGAGAGUUGGCAAUACCCAAAGUCCGUGAGCUAACCGUAAGGAGGCAGCGGCCUAAGGUAGGGUCAGCGAUUGGGGUGAAGUCGUAACAAGGUAGCCGU
RNAcentral lists this ribosomal RNA (1211 nucleotides) under iron-reducing bacterium enrichment culture clone FEA_2_C2. RNAcentral describes it as "partial 16S ribosomal RNA". It matches the Rfam family "Bacterial small subunit ribosomal RNA", at positions 252 to 1503 of the family's 1533-position model. The record is from RNAcentral.